Molecule: long non-coding RNA, 664 nt
Organism: Morus notabilis
Lineage: Eukaryota; Viridiplantae; Streptophyta; Magnoliopsida; Rosales; Moraceae
Exons: 4
Source: RefSeq, a predicted model, not a curated record
UUGUAUUUAUUUUAUGAUAUAAUUAGGAAAUUUUGGUCCUUUUAUCUCUGUUAACCGACUAUGUAGAGGCUAUUUAGUGUUCAUCCUUAUCUUUUUACCCUUAUUUAUGACUAUUACUAUUCUGUAUAGAUUUGUGAUAUGUGUUGCUACCUCUCUUCCUUGCAUCUAUUGCUUUCGCUGCCCUGUUUUAUCUUUCAUCACUUACUGCCUCAUUUCAUUGCCUAUAUUUAUUGCUUUGUUCUUUUAUCUCUGUACCUUUGACUACUUAUGUUGGAUGUUGUUUUACCUGUGACUACUCACUCCUUCGUUGGUCCCUCUAUCAAAUAUCGAAGACACUCCAAUUUUAAUGAUUCGUCAGUUAAAGGGAAUUUCACUUUCUCAUGCUAUUUUACUUUAGAAGAUUUUCCUGCAUCAUUUACUCUUGUUCGUGUGUGGGCUGUUCAUAGUUGGUUCCUCAAGCAAGAUUUAUAGCAUUGGAGGUUACAGUUGAAAAAAACAAAGGGGCCACAGCAACAAAGAUGAACAAGGAGUUAUAUAUGUUGUAAAUAACUUCAUAUGACAUUAUCUUAUAUAUAUUGUAAAUAACUUCAUAUAACAAUAUCUUAUAUAUAUUCAUGUAUAUUUAUAAUUUACUUCUGUUGUAUAAAGAUUAUCUACUUUUUCU